Molecule: ribosomal RNA, 294 nt
Filed under: uncultured eukaryote
Lineage: Eukaryota
Description: partial 18S ribosomal RNA
Rfam family: Eukaryotic small subunit ribosomal RNA
Source: RNAcentral
CCCUUUGAUACUCUGGGCGGUACGCGCGCUACACUGGUUUAUAUAACGUGUAAUUUGGACGAUAGUCUGUAUAAAUCACUAAUAUAAAACCGUGAAUGGGAUAGUUUAUUGCAACUUACAAACUUUAACUAGGAAUCCCUUGUAGAAGUAGUGGAUUAUACUGCUUCGAAUACGUCCCUGCCGAUUGUACACACCGCCCGUCGUUUCUUCCGACUGGUACUCAUUGUGAAUUGCGAGGAGAUUCUGUCAAAUCGUUGUAAAUGCUGGGUAUUGGAGGAAGAAAAAGUCGUAACA